CCUACGGGUGGCUGCAGUGAGGAAUAUUGGUCAAUGGCCGGAAGGCUGAACCAGCCAUGCCGCGUGAGGGUCAGUGCCCUAUGGGCGUUAAACUUCUUUUGUGCGGGAGCAAUAAUGGUCACGUGUGGCCAGACGAGAGUACCGUACGAAUAAGCAUCGGCUAACUCCGUGCCAGCAGCCGCGGUAAUACGGGGGAUGCAAGCGUUAUCCGGAUUUAGUGGGUUUAAAGGGUGCGUAGGCUGUGAGGUAAGUCAGCGGUGAAAUGCCCCCGCUCAACGGGGUGAAGUGCCAUGGAUACUGCCUUGCUAGAGUGCGGAUGGGGUGGGUGGAAUGUGUGGGGUAGCGGUGAAAUGCGUAGAGAU
Molecule: ribosomal RNA, 362 nt
Filed under: uncultured bacterium
Lineage: Bacteria
Description: partial 16S ribosomal RNA
Rfam family: Bacterial small subunit ribosomal RNA
Source: RNAcentral